RNAcentral lists this microRNA (23 nucleotides) under Eptesicus fuscus (big brown bat). Its description in RNAcentral is "efu-miR-9297". The record is from miRBase by way of RNAcentral. Lineage: Eukaryota; Metazoa; Chordata; Mammalia; Chiroptera; Vespertilionidae.
UUUUACUUUCACUGGUUGGGGGG